CACGAUAGCAUUGUCAAUGUGGACACAGGGUGGCUUUUGUCACAAAAAACCCCACAAACUGUGCAUUAUGGGGCAGAAAUUCACCCCCUGUGUGCGCUGAUGGGCCAAUGCUGUGCCUCUCAGUUUGCAUACAAGUUGGGCAGAUGGGAAUGGACUGACCUUUUCUCCACUGGCAUAUCUACACCGGGGGAGGCAGUGCUACAUGUGUGCCUAGCCUUAAUGGAAAUGUAUUUUCCUUGCAGAACAUCACUACGUCUGGAGACAUGGAGCCAACGACGACUUGGGAGACUUCUUCAGUCAAUAUUAUAUUGACAAUGAUGUGGAGCAUCUUCGGGACAUGGCCCUUUUCAUCUGCAUGGAUGCCUAUCGGAAACAUCUUGAGGAGCUGGAGAUGACUCUUUAUCACAUCCACAAACUCCUGGCUUUAUCUGAAGAGGAGCACGACGUGGACCACAUUCUCACCCAAUAUGAGAAUACGCAGCAAGCCCGGAGAGUAAGUUCCUUGGUCACUGUCUAGAAGGCUUUUCUGUGUGAUUUGUUGUUACAUUUUACAGGAUACACUCAAUGUUGGUCAGGUUAUAGGGAACACUAUGUAGUAUUGUGUGUGUGUUGAAAAAGAAGCUUAGUGUAAAUCUCUGCAGGUUACAGAA
Long non-coding RNA from Xenopus tropicalis (tropical clawed frog), 650 nucleotides. RefSeq lists it as uncharacterized. The transcript is spliced from 4 exons. Lineage: Eukaryota; Metazoa; Chordata; Amphibia; Anura; Pipidae. The record is from RefSeq and is a predicted model, not a curated record.